Non-coding RNA from Pyrenophora tritici-repentis Pt-1C-BFP, 86 nucleotides. NCBI's taxonomy places the organism in Eukaryota, Fungi, Ascomycota, Dothideomycetes, Pleosporales, Pleosporaceae. The record is from the annotation of a RefSeq genome assembly.
GGCUCGGUGGUGUAGUUGGUUAUCACGUCAGUCUAACAUGCAGUUAGAUCCACUGAAGGUCCCGAGUUCAAACCUCGGCUGAGUCA